This 599-nucleotide long non-coding RNA is filed under the name Rattus norvegicus (Norway rat). RNAcentral's name for it is "long non-coding RNA NONRATT027655". The record is from RNAcentral. Lineage: Eukaryota; Metazoa; Chordata; Mammalia; Rodentia; Muridae.
UGGGACGGUGUUUCUCGCUGCUGAAGUGUAAAAAGUGGUUUUGAUUUGGCAGGAGUGUAGCAUUCAGGUUCCCGAAAAUCUUCUCUCUGGGAGACUCCUGAGCCAUUACUCAUCCGAGAGACUCCUGUGUGUGGAGGAAGUCUGCAUUUAGUUAUUCUGGGAGUGCAGGACCUAUGGGCAGGCCAACUCUGCACGCAAGCUGGGAGCUGAAGGCUGCCCGAGUUGGGCCGACGAAACCAAACACCACUGGAUAGAAUCAAGGAAGAGAUGUAAGGACCCAGGCAGAACCAUGGAUGCAGGGCCUUGGGCACAGCUUCCUGAGAGGCCAGCACUUGGCAGACAAUGAGACCUCCAAGGAAGGAAAUGCCAAGUAGUGCUUCAAAGCUUCGGACCACAAUCAAACACAGCAUCCUUUUCAACAGAAGCAGAAGCUCAUCUGAAUAUGCUCAAGGAUGCUGACAUCAACAUUUAAUCAUCUCCUCACUCAUCCAGGAAGAAGGGGAGAUCAGUUACUACUGUACUUUAUUGUGUUCAACCAAAUCACCAUGUUACAAAAAUAGCAAGCUGCCAUAAUAAAAAAUAAGGCUCCUCUAUCCAGC